Molecule: transfer RNA, 90 nt
Filed under: bacterium
Lineage: Bacteria
Description: tRNA-Ser
Rfam family: tRNA
About the family: Transfer RNA (tRNA) molecules are approximately 80 nucleotides in length. Their secondary structure includes four short double-helical elements and three loops (D, anti-codon, and T loops). Further hydrogen bonds mediate the characteristic L-shaped molecular structure. tRNAs have two regions of fundamental functional importance: the anti-codon, which is responsible for specific mRNA codon recognition, and the 3' end, to which the tRNAs corresponding amino acid is attached (by aminoacyl-tRNA synthetases). tRNAs cope with the degeneracy of the genetic code in two manners: having more than one tRNA (with a specific anti-codon) for a particular amino acid; and 'wobble' base-pairing, i.e. permitting non-standard base-pairing at the 3rd anti-codon position.
Source: RNAcentral
GGAGAGGUGGCUGAGUGGACUAAAGCGCUGGUCUUGAAAACCAGUACCGCCGCAAGGUGGUCGGGGGUUCGAAUCCCUCCCUCUCCGCCA